This 335-nucleotide long non-coding RNA is filed under the name Prunus persica (peach). RNAcentral's name for it is "long non-coding RNA (PPER_LNC006994)". Lineage: Eukaryota; Viridiplantae; Streptophyta; Magnoliopsida; Rosales; Rosaceae. The record is from RNAcentral.
UUUGGAUGGUUAUGGAUGAUGGUGUGGUGAUUUGUUGCAAAGAGAGGAGAAAGGAGAAAGGAUGAGGCCAUUUUUGGGGAAGAUAUGGAUCAUCUGGGUGGGUUUUAUUUUUUUUAUUUUUAAUAUAUUUUUAUUUUAUUUUCAAAGAAUAGAGAAGCAAUAUUUGUAAUUAUUAAUUAUCUCAUUUUUAAUAUAAUUUUUUAAAUUUAACAAGUAAUUACAUUUGGUAAAAGGACUAAAAUAGCCAUGCCAUGCCAUUAAAACUAACAGAGUUAUUAAUGGAGAUAAUGGUUGGGGUAAAGUGGAAUACGAAAUCACGGUCAAGAGGGUUAAGU